UUCCAGGUUUGUCAUCCUGCCUAGAUCCAGCAGCAGCUUUGCAGGAGUCAGAAGCUACAGGAGCCAAAUCCCAAAGUGGGGAUGGAUGUCCACUUUUAAUAAGAAGGAGAAAACAAAGCAGGAAGGAGGAUUGUCACAGAAUGACUUGAAGUGAUCCUACUGAGGACCUGGAAUCUGACUUGAAGUGAUCCUACUGAGCAAAUUUCCCAGAAUCAGAGUCCUCAGAUUGGCAUUCUGGAUCUGCUUCCCCUUUCAUUUUGGAGAGACCAAAACCUGUGAGAUUCUGCUCCACAUCCACUUCUCCAAACUGAGGGAAGAGUGAAUUCAGCUGUGGAAUUCUGAUUGUGGAUUCCUGAUGCCUCUGUUCCAGCACACCUAUUUUUCAGCUUGGUUCUGGCUUCAUCCUUCCUCUGACUGACCCACAGUUGGGCUGGUAGCUGCCCAAGGACACUCAGCAGUGCCAAAUACACAUUUCAGGGAGCCUCUAAUGAAUCCCCACUGAAAUUUCAUCAGCUGUGCAAAGUAGAUUGAUUAAAUGCUACUUACCACACAGGUAAAUGUUUUCUGGGGUGUGCAAUUAUUGGUAAGAAAAAUUGACUAGCAGGGUACCUGAAUUUCAUUCACAGCAUCUAUUCAUAGCACAUAGACACAUUGUACAAUUGCAGUCACUAUUAAGAAAAAUCAACAAAAGGCUACAGCAUUAUCUGUGCUUCUCCAGCAAUUUCCUCUCACAAAUUAGACAUGCCUUACUUUUCCUUUUGUUGUCCAAGGAAGUAUUAUUUGUAUAAUGUUCCACUGUGCUUUAAAUAGUUUUCCAGACCAUUUCUCAGAUGAACUAAGAAUAAAGUUACCUGCUAUUGAACUAC
Non-coding RNA from Lonchura striata (white-rumped munia), 866 nucleotides. Lineage: Eukaryota; Metazoa; Chordata; Aves; Passeriformes; Estrildidae. The record is from RefSeq and is a predicted model, not a curated record.